This 257-nucleotide ribosomal RNA is filed under the name uncultured bacterium. Its description in RNAcentral is "partial 16S ribosomal RNA". It matches the Rfam family "Bacterial small subunit ribosomal RNA", at positions 99 to 354 of the family's 1533-position model. The record is from RNAcentral.
CGGACGGGUGAGUAACGACGUGGAAAACCUAGCCGUAUACUGGGGGAUAACACUUAGAAAUAGGUGCUAAUACCGCAUAAGCGCACAGCUUCGCAUGAAGCGGUGUGAAAAACUCUGGUGGUAUACGAUGGUUCCGCGUCUGAUUAGCUAGUUGGUGGGGUAAUGGCCUACCAAGGCAACGAUCAGUAGCCGGCCUGAGAGGGUGAACGGCCACAUUGGGACUGAGACACGGCCCAAACUCCUACGGGAGGCAGCAG